GAUGAACGCUGGCGGCGUGCCUAAUACAUGCCAGUCGAGCGAACAGACGAGGAGCUUGCUCCUCUGACGUUAGCGGCGGACGGGUGAGUAACACGUGGAUAACCUACCUAUAAGACUGGGAUAACUUCGGGAAACCGGAGCUAAUACCGGAUAAUAUAUUGAACCGCAUGGUUCAAUAGUGAAAGACGGUUUUGCUGUCACUUAUAGAUGGAUCCGCGCCGCAUUAGCUAGUUGGUAAGGUAACGGCUUACCAAGGCAACGAUGCCUAGCCGACCUGAGAGGGUGAUCGGCCACACUGGAACUGAGACACGGUCCAGACUCCUACGGGAGGCAGCAGUAGGGAAUCUUCCGCAAUGGGCGAAAGCCUGACGGAGCAACGCCGCGUGAGUGAUGAAGGUCUUCGGAUCGUAAAACUCUGUUAUUAGGGAAGAACAAAUGUGUAAGUAACUAUGCACGUCUUGACGGUACCUAAUCAGAAAGCCACGGCUAACUACGUG
Molecule: ribosomal RNA, 497 nt
Filed under: uncultured bacterium
Lineage: Bacteria
Description: partial 16S ribosomal RNA
Rfam family: Bacterial small subunit ribosomal RNA
Source: RNAcentral